UUACCAACCCGAUGCAAACUACGAAUACCAAAGAGUGAUACUCAGGAGACACACGGCGGGUGCUAACGUCCGUCGUGGAGAGGGAAACAACCCAGACCGCCAGCUAAGGUCCCCAAGUCUAUAUUAAGUGGGAAACGAAGUGGGAAGGCUUAGACAGCUAGGAUGUUGGCUUAGAAGCAGCCAUCAUUUAAAGAAAGCGUAAUAGCUCACUAGUCGAGUCGGCCUGCGCGGAAGAUGUAACGGGGCUGAAAUAUAGCACCGAAGCUGCGGCAUCAGGCGUAUCACUAAUACGCCUUACGAUUAACAAGCUAGAAUGGCGCGAAGCGACAUGAAAGGUUGUUCAAGCAACCCGAACGUUGAGUCGGCACAUUUUUGAAGUAAGGAUUAUUAGUGAUACGCCUGUUGGGUAGGGGAGCGUUGUGUAAGCGGAAGAAGGUUCAUCGAGAGGUGGGCUGGACGUAUCACAAGUGCGAAUGCUGACAUAAGUAACGAUAAAACGGGUGAAAAACCCGUUCGCCGGAAGACCAAGGGUUCCUGUCCAACGUUAAUCGGGGCAGGGUGAGUCGGCCCCUAAGGCGAGGCUGAAAAGCGUAGUCGAUGGGAAACAGGUUAAUAUUCCUGUACUUGGUAAAGCUGCGAUGUGGGGACGGAGUAGGUUAGGUUAGCGUGCUGUUGGAUAUGCACGUUUAAGUUGGUAGGUGGGAAGUUUAGGCAAAUCCGGACUUCCUUAACACUGAGAGAUGAUGACGAGGCCCUACGGAGCUGAAGUAACUGAUACCACACUUCCAGGAAAAGCCACUAAGCGACAGGCUUUACUAAACCGUACUGAAAACCGACACAGGUGGUCAGGUAGAGAAUACUCAGGCGCUUGAGAGAACUCGGGUGAAGGAACUAGGCAAAAUAGCACCGUAACUUCGGGAGAAGGUGCGCCGGCGUAGAUUGUAAGGGCUAGCCCCUGAAGGUUGAACCGGUCGAAGAUACCAGCUGGCUGCAACUGUUUAUUAAAAACACAGCACUCUGCAAACACGAAAGUGGACGUAUAGGGUGUGAUGCCUGCCCGGUGCUGGAAGGUUAAUUGAUGGUGUCAUCGAAAGAGAAGCACCUGAUCGAAGCCCCAGUAAACGGCGGCCGUAACUAUAACGGUCCUAAGGUAGCGAAAUUCCUUGUCGGGUAAGUUCCGACCUGCACGAAUGGCAUAAUGAUGGCCAGGCUGUCUCCACCCGAGACUCAGUGAAAUUGAAAUCGCCGUGAAGAUGCGGUGUACCCGCGGCUAGACGGAAAGACCCCGUGAACCUUUACUAUAGCUUGACACUGAACAUUGAAUUUUGAUGUGUAGGAUAGGUGGGAGCCUUUGAAGCAGUGACGCCAGUCAUUGUGGAGGCGACCUUGAAAUACCACCCUUUAACGUUUGAUGUUCUAACGAAGAUGACGAAACGUGGUCUCGGACAGUGUCUGGUGGGUAGUUUGACUGGGGCGGUCUCCUCCCAAAGCGUAACGGAGGAGCACGAAGGUUUGCUAAUCACGGUCGGACAUC
RNAcentral lists this ribosomal RNA (1534 nucleotides) under Haemophilus influenzae. RNAcentral describes it as "bacterial LSU rRNA". It matches the Rfam family "Bacterial large subunit ribosomal RNA", at positions 936 to 2339 of the family's 2925-position model. The record is from RNAcentral. Lineage: Bacteria; Pseudomonadati; Pseudomonadota; Gammaproteobacteria; Pasteurellales; Pasteurellaceae.